UACGGAGGGGGCGAGCGUUGUUCGGAAUCACUGGGUGUAAAGGGUGCGUAGGCGGUGCGUUAAGUCUGAUGUGAAAGCCCGGGGCUCAACUCCGGAAUUGCCUUUAAAACUGCAUCGCUAGAAUUGUGGAGAGGUAAGUGGAAUUCCGAGUGUAGAGGUGAAAUUCGUAGAUAUUCGGAAGAACACCAGUGGCGAAGGCGACUUACUGGACACAUAUUGACGCUGAGGUGCGAAAGCGUGGGGAGCAAACAGG
Molecule: ribosomal RNA, 253 nt
Filed under: uncultured bacterium
Lineage: Bacteria
Description: partial 16S ribosomal RNA
Rfam family: Bacterial small subunit ribosomal RNA
Source: RNAcentral